UUUCACGUAGUGGUGAGCAAGCAGCAACGACGACUAAAACAACCCGAAACGGCGGUAAUUUGGGGAUCCGGAUUUCGGAUUUUGCGGAAACGAGCAGCGACGGCGGUGACUCGGAUUCUUCUUUCUUUCAAUUUCAGGUUACCUCGGUUCUUUACAAAUCGAUAACAGUCGAGCGCCGCCGCACGAACUGUCAGACCACGGAACGAUUGAACAGAGGUGCUAAUUGUUUGUCGUUUGGAGAAGGGGCGUUUGUUGAGCACCACCCGAGCAGAAGGGUUUUGGUGGAAUAAAGGUACACAGGAUUCCAUUGUGGUUUAACUUUUAAUUGUUGCACUAAAUGUUCAAUGGAGAUCACAUUUGUGCCGUGGUUAAUUGAUUGUUGUAGAUCUAUGCCCUUAGGCAAUUUGGUUAUA
This is a long non-coding RNA of Helianthus annuus (common sunflower), 413 nucleotides long. RefSeq lists it as uncharacterized. The record is from RefSeq and is a predicted model, not a curated record. NCBI's taxonomy places the organism in Eukaryota, Viridiplantae, Streptophyta, Magnoliopsida, Asterales, Asteraceae. The transcript has 2 exons.